Long non-coding RNA from Haplochromis burtoni (Burton's mouthbrooder), 758 nucleotides. RefSeq lists it as uncharacterized. NCBI's taxonomy places the organism in Eukaryota, Metazoa, Chordata, Actinopteri, Cichliformes, Cichlidae. The record is from RefSeq and is a predicted model, not a curated record. The transcript has 2 exons.
UGUUAAAAACGGGAUUAAAAGUAUAAAUAAAUAUUGAUAAAAACAAAGUUAAUUAUAAUAAAUACUGAUAAAAAGCAUGUAAACAUAAGUUUAAUUAAUAUGUACAUAUGUAUAUGUAAUGUAUAAAUGGUGUGGGGGCAGGACUUAGUCCUGUAGAGUGUGUUUGUCAGAUCCACUGAGCGACCAAUCAUUGGCCGGUCUGACCCUCCCCCAGUCUGUGCGCUGCUCAGACACCUGUGUGCCUUCAUGUGCCAGUCAGAUACGCCAGAGACACAGACGGUGAAAGAUCAGUUUACCCGUGUGGCGAAGAAGCUAGCUGGAUAGAAAGUCCUUUUUUCGGCAAGAAUAAUAAGAGUGAUACUGUAUUCCAGAGGCCGUGAGCCAACGUGAGCACUGUGAAGCCCCGUGUAGCAUUUGUUGCUUUGCAUGGUCAGGUUUUUUCCCUUUGCUUAUUUGGAUUGGAUUGGUUUUGAGGACCUGAGAAGAAUCGAGGAUCCCUUUUCCAGUACUGGAUGGCGAGCCCAGCCCAAAGAGCCGGAUGAACUGGUAGAUUGUAACCCGACUGGUUACAAACACACUGAGUGACUAUUGAACAUUGAAAGACUGAAAUUGACUUUAAAAAAGACACAAAAGACAAUAUAUCCUUGGGUCGACCAUUUGUGGGGUUUAUUUUAUUUUGUUUUCAAGAAGAGCGCUCUACUUUUGUUAAAUGUGCACAACUUUAAUAAUUGCUAAUAAAUGCAAUUGUGUUUUCUACA